This 749-nucleotide ribosomal RNA is filed under the name uncultured bacterium. RNAcentral describes it as "bacterial SSU rRNA". It matches the Rfam family "Bacterial small subunit ribosomal RNA", at positions 758 to 1505 of the family's 1533-position model. The record is from RNAcentral.
AGCUUAGGGAGCAAACAUGAUUAGAGACGUUGUGGUCCACGCCGUAAAUGAUGAGUUAUAGGUGUUGAGGGUAUUGACCCCUUUUUUGCCGCAGUUAACACAAUAAGCAUUCCGCCGGGGGAGUUCGGCCGCAAGGUUGAAACUCAAAGGAAUUCACGGGGGUCCGCACAAGCGGUGGAGCAUGUGGUUUAUUUGGAUUCAACGCAAAGAACCUUACCAAGGCUUGACAUCCUCAGAAUCCCGUAAAACAUGGAAGUGCCCUUCGAGGAACUGAGAGACAGGUGGUUCAUGAUUUCGUCAGCUCGUGUCUUGAGAUGUGGGGUUAAGUCCCGCAACGAGCGCUACCCCUAUGUUUGGUUGUUAACAGGUAAGGCUGAGCACUGUAGAUAGACUGCCGGUGAUAAACCGGGGGAAGGUGGGGAUGACGUCAAAUCAUCAUGCCCCUUAUGUCUUGGGAUACCCCCGAGCUACAAUGGCCGGUACAGGCGGAAGAGAAGCUGUGAAGGGAAGCAAAUCCGAGAAAUUCGGUCUCAGUUCGGAUUGUUCUUUGCAAAUUGAGAACAUGAAGUCGGAAUCGUUAGUAAUGGCAGGUCAGCAUACUCGGGUGAAUACGUUCCCGGGCCUUGUACACACCGCCCGUCACACCAGGAAAGUGUGCAACACCCGAAGCCGGGGAGGUAACCAGAAAGGGAGCUAGCCGUAGAAGGUGGGGCCGAUGAGGGGGUGAAGUCGUAACAAGGUAACAGUAA